This 301-nucleotide ribosomal RNA is filed under the name uncultured bacterium. Its description in RNAcentral is "partial 16S ribosomal RNA". It matches the Rfam family "Bacterial small subunit ribosomal RNA", at positions 509 to 807 of the family's 1533-position model. The record is from RNAcentral.
CAGCCGCCACGGUAAUACGAAGGUCCCGAGCGUUGUUCGGAAUCACUGGGCGUAAAGGGAGCGUAGGCGGCGUGGUAAGCCAGAUGUGAAAUCCCGGGGCUCAACCCCGGAACUGCAUCCGAUACUGCCAUGCUAGAGGAUUGGAGAGGUAGCUGGAAUUCUUGGUGUAGCAGUGAAAUGCGUGGAGAUCAAGAGGAACACUCGUGGCGAAAGCGAGCUACUGGACAAUAACUGACGCUGAGGCUCGAAGGCCAGGGUAGCGAAAGGGAUUAGAUACCCCCGUAGUCCCUGUCUCUUAUAC